CUCGAGUGGCGAACGGGUGAGUAACACGUGGGUGAUCUGCCCCGCACUUCGGGAUAAGCCUGGGAAACUGGGUCUAAUACCGGAUAGGACCACGAACAUAAUGGUUUGUGGUGGAAAGUUUUUCGGUGUGGGAUGAGCUCGCGGCCUAUCAGCUUGUUGGUGGGGUAAUGGCCUACCAAGGCGUCGACGGGUAGCCGGCCUGAGAGGGUGGACGGCCACAUUGGGACUGAGACACGGCCCAG
RNAcentral lists this ribosomal RNA (242 nucleotides) under uncultured bacterium. RNAcentral describes it as "partial 16S ribosomal RNA". It matches the Rfam family "Bacterial small subunit ribosomal RNA", at positions 90 to 334 of the family's 1533-position model. The record is from RNAcentral.